RNAcentral lists this ribosomal RNA (468 nucleotides) under uncultured bacterium. RNAcentral describes it as "partial 16S ribosomal RNA". The stretch from base 20 to 332 matches the Rfam family "Bacterial small subunit ribosomal RNA", at positions 47 to 358 of the family's 1533-position model. The record is from RNAcentral.
GACGAACGCUGGCGGCGUGCUUAACACAUGCAAGUCGAACGGAAAGGCCCUGCUUUUGUGGGGUGCUCGAGUGGCGAACGGGUGAGUAACACGUGAGUAACCUGCCCUUGACUUUGGGAUAACUUCAGGAAACUGGGGCUAAUACCGGAUAGGAGCUCCUGCUGCAUGGUGGGGGUUGGAAAGUUUCGGCGGUUGGGGAUGGACUCGCGGCUUAUCAGCUUGUUGGUGGGGUAGUGGCUUACCAAGGCUUUGACGGGUAGCCGGCCUGAGAGGGUGACCGGAAACAGGGGGAAUGAGAGAAGGCCGGGAGGAAGAAGGGAGGAAGAAGGGGGGAAGAGGGAAGAAGGGGCGGAAGUUGGAGGCAGCAAGGGCGAGGGAGGGAGGAAGGAGUGAGGGAGUGAAAAAGGGAUCGCAGGGGAAGAAGAGGGAGGGAAGGGAAGGGGUAAAGAAGAAAAGGAAAAAGACGAG